This 433-nucleotide ribosomal RNA is filed under the name uncultured bacterium. RNAcentral's name for it is "partial 16S ribosomal RNA". It matches the Rfam family "Bacterial small subunit ribosomal RNA", at positions 29 to 507 of the family's 1533-position model. The record is from RNAcentral.
AACGAACGCUGGCGGCAUGCCUAACACAUGCAAGUCGAACGAGACCUUCUGGUCUAGUGGCGCACGGGUGCGUAACGCGUGGGAACCUGCCCUUAGGUUCGGAAUCACUCCCCGAAAGGGGUGCUAAUACCGGAUAAUGUCUUCGGACCAAAGAUUUAUCGCCUUUGGAUGGGCCCGCGUUGGAUUAGCUAGUUGGUAGGGUAAAAGCCUACCAAGGCGACGAUCCAUAGCUGGUCUGAGAGGAUGAUCAGCCACACUGGGACUGAGACACGGCCCAGACUCCUACGGGAGGCAGCAGUGGGGAAUAUUGGACAAUGGGCGAAAGCCUGAUCCAGCAAUGCCGCGUGAGUGAUGAAGGCCUUAGGGUUGUAAAGCUCUUUUACCCGGGAUGAUAAUGACAGUACCGGGAGAAUAAGCACCGGCUAACUCCGUG